AGCAUUUUGAAUACAUGCCAAGAUUUAGUCAGACUCCAGACCAUUAGUAUUGAUGAGACUCCCAAGAUAAGUGAUGCA
Molecule: microRNA precursor, 78 nt
Filed under: Schistosoma curassoni
Lineage: Eukaryota; Metazoa; Platyhelminthes; Trematoda; Strigeidida; Schistosomatidae
Description: mir-3492 microRNA precursor family
Rfam family: mir-3492 microRNA precursor family
Source: Rfam by way of RNAcentral